UACGAAGGGGGCUAGCGUUGCUCGGAAUUACUGGGCGUAAAGGGCGCGUAGGCGGGUUGUUAAGUCAGGGGUGAAAUCCCGGAGCUCAACUCCGGAACUGCCUUUGAUACUGGCAAUCUAGAGACUGGAAGAGGUUAGUGGAAUUCCCAGUGUAGAGGUGAAAUUCGUAGAUAUUGGGAAGAACACCAGUGGCGAAGGCGGCUAACUGGUCCAGUACUGACGCUGAGGUGCGAAAGCGUGGGGAGCAAACAGG
Molecule: ribosomal RNA, 253 nt
Filed under: uncultured bacterium
Lineage: Bacteria
Description: partial 16S ribosomal RNA
Rfam family: Bacterial small subunit ribosomal RNA
Source: RNAcentral